AUUCUCGGCGGGCCUUGUGUGUACCGUCAAAAUUGAAAAAAAAUUCACUGAACAAUGGACCAAUCUCGGCGGGCUAUAAAAAGGCUGCCGAGAUCGGUCCCCUUAAAAUUUGAAGCUGACGGUUAUGGGCAUCAAGACUACCCAAUCUUGACAGAAACAUUAUGGCCCGCCGAGAUCGGUCCUUGAAAAAACCCUAAUCAACUGCCCAACCCGUCACAAUGUGUGGCGAGUGUUGGAGAAGACAUUGGGGAUGGGACAACGCCAGAGCUAGGGACGACGAAACAUGGUCACUGGAUACGAACACUAUUGAAUUUUAUCUUGUGGAAGAAAUUAUAUAGAGUUCAUGCUACCCUUUUGCAAGAUAAUGAAGACAAAGUAUGAGUGGAGUAGGGGUGCCCCUGAAACUAUUUAAGAUUAGAGCAGAUUCAACCAAUGUAUUGUCAAAACUGAAAGGCUAAUCACAUGAAUUGGUUGUUGAUAUUCUUGAAAAUGUUGCUUAAGGGGAUAAGCCACUACUAGAAAAUGAGGAUUAAGAAAAAAAAAAUAGUUGGUUGUUACUUUCAUGAGAGUUCAUGAGAGGAGAUAUAUUGGUUGCCAUAUUUGUAAAGUGACCAAGUGUGUAUGUUACAUUUAUUUUUGUAUAUUUGCUUUGAAAGAUUUUUAUUAUUAAUUAUGUAUUGUAUAGAAAUCAUUUUUGUUUGAUAUUUUUGGAAUAAAAUUUGGUUAUUAUAUA
Long non-coding RNA from Cannabis sativa, 733 nucleotides. RefSeq lists it as uncharacterized. The record is from RefSeq and is a predicted model, not a curated record. The transcript has 5 exons. Lineage: Eukaryota; Viridiplantae; Streptophyta; Magnoliopsida; Rosales; Cannabaceae.